AAAAGACAACACUAGAGAGAGGGCUGUCUUCCACCCCAGGGCGUGCCUCCUCUGCCACAAACGGUGCCACUCUUUCCUUGCGCCGCCUGAACCAUCAAGUUCAGCCUUCCCCGCCGUGCAGCACUUCACCUAGAUGCUUGUCGACGAAUUCCAGUUGGCGACCUAAAGCGCUUCUCGACCAGCCAGCAGUUGCCCAGACGAUUUCCGGUGACCUCCGCGGCAUCCCCACAUCGGAGACCCUUCACUGCUGCAGCUGUCCUCUGCUGAUUCCGGGCUUGGGGUUGCCAUUCACUGUUGUUCCUCCUGCUGAUUGCUGUUCGCUACAACAUAUCACUAUACUGUUGGGGAGAAGAUAUGUUGUCGCGAACUCGGGUACAACAAUUCACCACGUCCAAACGCAAUCCAG
Molecule: long non-coding RNA, 406 nt
Filed under: Eucalyptus grandis
Lineage: Eukaryota; Viridiplantae; Streptophyta; Magnoliopsida; Myrtales; Myrtaceae
Description: long non-coding RNA (EGRA_LNC007783)
Source: RNAcentral